GAAUCUACCUUCAGGAGGGGGAUGAUUUCUGGUACCGGUAUGGUAAUACCCCGUAAGCUGAGGAGUUAAAUAAAGUUCGCCUAAAGAUGAGCUUGCGUCUGAUUAGUUUGUUGGUAAGGUAAUUGCUUACCAAGCCUAUGAUCAGUAGUUGGUCUGAGAGGAUAUUCAGCCACACUGGGACUGAGACACGGCCCAGACUCAUGCGGGAGGCAGCAGUGAGGAAUUUUCCGCAAUGAGCGAAAGCUUGACGGAGCAAUCCCGCGUGGAGGAUGAAAGCUUAUGGGCCGUAAACUCCUUUUCUCAGAGAAGAAUUUUGACGGUAUUUGAGGAAUAAGCAUCGGCUAACUCCGUGCCAGCAGCCGCGGUAAGACGGGGGAUGCAAGUGUUAUCCGGAAUGAUUGGGCGUAAAGCGUCUGUAGGUAGUUUAUCAAGUCUGUUGUUAAAACUCAGGGCUUAACCCUGAUCCAGCAACAGAAACUAAUAAACUUGAGUACGGUAGGGGCAGAGGGAAUUCUCGGUGUAGUGAUGAAAUACGUAGAUAUCGAGAAGAACACCAACAGCGAAAGCACUCUGCUGGGCCGAAACUGACAUUGAGAGACGAAAGCUAGGGGAGCGAAAGGGAUUAGAUACCCCUGUAGUC
Molecule: ribosomal RNA, 640 nt
Filed under: uncultured phototrophic eukaryote
Lineage: Eukaryota
Description: bacterial SSU rRNA
Rfam family: Bacterial small subunit ribosomal RNA
Source: RNAcentral